This 465-nucleotide ribosomal RNA is filed under the name uncultured bacterium. RNAcentral's name for it is "bacterial SSU rRNA". It matches the Rfam family "Bacterial small subunit ribosomal RNA", at positions 338 to 795 of the family's 1533-position model. The record is from RNAcentral.
CCUACGGGUGGCACCAGUAGGGAAUCUUCGGCAAUGGGGGGAACCCUGACCGAGCAACGCCGCGUGAGUGAAGAAGGUUUUCGGAUCGUAAAGCUCUGUUGUAAGAGAAGAACGGGUGUGAGAGUGGAAAGUUCACACUGUGACGGUAUCUUACCAGAAAGGGACGGCUAACUACGUGCCAGCAGCCGCGGUAAUACGUAGGUCCCGAGCGUUGUCCGGAUUUAUUGGGCGUAAAGCGAGCGCAGGCGGUUAGAUAAGUCUGAAGUUAAAGGCUGUGGCUUAACCAUAGUAUGCUUUGGAAACUGUUUAACUUGAGUGCAGAAGGGGAGAGUGGAAUUCCAUGUGUAGCGGUGAAAUGCGUAGGUAUAUGGAGGAACACCGGUGGCGAAAGCGGCUCUCUGGUCUGUAACUGACGCUGAGGCUCGAAAGCGUGGGGAGCAAACAGGAUUAGAUACCCCAGUAGUC